CCUGCCCCGUGAACUAAUUCAACGGCCGCGGUAUCUUGACCGUGCAAAGGUAGCAUAAUCAAUUGUUCUUUAAAUAAGGACUAGUAUGAACGGCAUCACGAGGGUUUAACUGUCUCCCUAUUUUAAUCAAUGAAAUUGAUCCCCCCGUGAAGAAGCGGGGAUAUAAUUAUAAGACGAAAAGACCCCAUGGAGCUUUAAACUUAUUUUCAAUUACCAAAACCAAAACAUACACCCGGUAAAAAUGAUAAUCGUUUUCGGUUGGGGCGACCCUGGAGAAAAACAAAUCCUCCAAGCUGAAUAAAUUAAAAUUUAAUGUUAGAGCAACAACUCAAACAAUCAAAACCUUGACAAAAUGACCCAGAAUUCAUCUGAUCAACGAACCAAGUUACCCUGGGGAUAACAGCGCAAUCCAUUUCAAGAGCCCUUAUCGACAAAUGGGUUUACGACCUCGAUGUUGAUCGGGGUAUCCUAGCAG
Molecule: ribosomal RNA, 475 nt
Filed under: Hyperolius hutsebauti
Lineage: Eukaryota; Metazoa; Chordata; Amphibia; Anura; Hyperoliidae
Description: partial 16S ribosomal RNA
Rfam family: Bacterial large subunit ribosomal RNA
Source: RNAcentral